This 478-nucleotide long non-coding RNA is filed under the name Ananas comosus (pineapple). RNAcentral describes it as "long non-coding RNA (ACOM_LNC022424)". Lineage: Eukaryota; Viridiplantae; Streptophyta; Magnoliopsida; Poales; Bromeliaceae. The record is from RNAcentral.
AGCGCGCGGGGGCCCGCGGGAGAGAGAGAGAGAGAGAGAGAGGGACACGGGGGGACCAAGGUGUAACACACUGGACCUUUACAAAUUACGAGGUUCGAGUGUUUGGACAGUGUUCUGAGUUUUUCCAGACUUUCUGGUGGGUCGUAGACAGUAUUCCGACGUAUGGUUCGAACCCCGAAAAUUGAGGUCUAAAGCCUAACACCAAAACCCGAAAAAUUGAAUUUUUGGUUAGCUCUCGGGUAGCCUUCAUUGGGCCAUGUACCGGUACAGGGUUGAUGGCUGUACCGGUACAGGGUUGAUGGUUGUACCGGUACGGGAUUGUGUACCGGUACACAGGCAGCUUCCCAGCCAACCCGAGACUCGGGUUUGACAUUUUCGUGGGAUGUGUACCGGUACGUGGGCCCAUGUACCGGUACGCAGUGGCAGUUUUUGAGCAGUUUAAACUGCAGGGGAUUUUUCGCAAUUGUGGUCUUCUAUU